The sequence is a ribosomal RNA, 972 nucleotides long. It matches the Rfam family "Eukaryotic small subunit ribosomal RNA", at positions 121 to 1102 of the family's 1831-position model.
UUGAUAGUACCUUACUACUUGGAUAACCGUGGUAAUUCUAGAGCUAAUACAUGCUGGAAACCCCGACUUCGGAAGGGAUGUAUUUAUUAGAUUAAAAACCAAUGCCCUUCGGGGCUCACUGGUGAUUCAUAAUAACUUUACGGAUCGCAUGGCCCUUGCGCCGGCGACGGUUCAUUCAAAUUUCUGCCCUAUCAACUUUCGAUGGUAAGGUAUUGGCUUACCAUGGUUUCAACGGGUAACGGGGAAUUAGGGUUCGAUUCCGGAGAGGGAGCCUGAGAAACGGCUACCACAUCCAAGGAAGGCAGCAGGCGCGCAAAUUACCCAAUCCCGACACGGGGAGGUAGUGACAAUAAAUACUGAUACAGGGCUCUUUUGGGUCUUGUAAUUGGAAUGAGUACAAUUUAAACCUCUUAACGAGGAACAAUUGGAGGGCAAGUCUGGUGCCAGCAGCCGCGGUAAUUCCAGCUCCAAUAGCGUAUAUUAAAGUUGUUGCAGUUAAAAAGCUCGUAGUUGAAACUUGGGUCUGGCUGGCAGGUCCGCCUCACCGCGUGUACUUGUCCGGCCGGGCCUUCCUUCUGGAGAACCUCAUGCCCUUCACUGGGCGUGUUGGGGACCAGGACUUUUACUUUGAAAAAAUUAGAGUGUUCAAAGCAGGCCUUUGCUCGAAUACGUUAGCAUGGAAUAAUAGAAUAGGACGUGCGGUCCUAUUUUGUUGGUUUCUAGGACCGCCGUAAUGAUUAAUAGGGACAGUCGGGGGCAUCAGUAUUCAAUUGUCAGAGGUGAAAUUCUUGGAUUUAUUGAAGACUAACUACUGCGAAAGCAUUUGCCAAGGAUGUUUUCAUUAAUCAGUGAACGAAAGUUAGGGGAUCGAAGACGAUCAGAUACCGUCGUAGUCUUAACCGUAAACUAUGCCGACUAGGGAUCGGGCGAUGUUCUUUUUCUGACUCGCUCGGCACCUUACGAGAAAUCAAA